RNAcentral lists this ribosomal RNA (170 nucleotides) under uncultured bacterium. RNAcentral describes it as "partial 16S ribosomal RNA". It matches the Rfam family "Bacterial small subunit ribosomal RNA", at positions 350 to 511 of the family's 1533-position model. The record is from RNAcentral.
AGCAGUAGGGAAUCUUCGGCAAUGGACGAAAGUCUGACCGAGCAACGCCGCGUGAGUGAAGAAGGUUUUCGGAUCGUAAAACUCUGUUGGUAGAGAAGAACGUUGGUGAGAGUGGAAAGCUCAUCAAGUGACGGUAACUACCCAGAAAGGGACGGCUAACUACGUGCCAG